CGUCCAUGGUGGCCGAGACACCUAGGCACCGAGCUUUUAACCCGGUCACAGUUAUAUAUACUCCAGGACA
RNAcentral lists this transfer RNA (70 nucleotides) under Lamprotula caveata. Its description in RNAcentral is "tRNA-Lys". Lineage: Eukaryota; Metazoa; Mollusca; Bivalvia; Unionida; Unionidae. The record is from RNAcentral.